Molecule: long non-coding RNA, 130 nt
Organism: Syngnathus acus (greater pipefish)
Lineage: Eukaryota; Metazoa; Chordata; Actinopteri; Syngnathiformes; Syngnathidae
Exons: 3
Source: RefSeq, a predicted model, not a curated record
UUCAACUAUGGAUUUUCGGUCGAAGCAGGUCACCAGUAAAGGAAGAGCAACUCCGGAGUUAAAAGGUUUGAUUCGGACAACGGGACUUCGGAGCAUGUCUUUUCAAACAGAGUGAUGAUGAGUUUUAAAA